UACGGAGGGCGCAAGCGUUGUUCGGAAUCACUGGGCGUAAAGCGCGUGUAGGCGGCUUGGUAAGUCGGGUGUGAAAGCCCGGAGCUCAACUCCGGAACUGCACUCGAAACUGCCUCGCUCGAGUGCCGGAGAGGGUGGUGGAAGUCCCGGUGUAGAGGUGAAAUUCGUAGAUAUCGGGAGGAACACCAGUGGCGAAGGCGGCCACCUGGACGGUGACUGACGCUGAGACGCGAAAGCGUGGGGAGCAAACAGG
This 253-nucleotide ribosomal RNA is filed under the name uncultured bacterium. RNAcentral describes it as "partial 16S ribosomal RNA". It matches the Rfam family "Bacterial small subunit ribosomal RNA", at positions 524 to 776 of the family's 1533-position model. The record is from RNAcentral.